Molecule: transfer RNA, 72 nt
Filed under: Ictidomys tridecemlineatus (thirteen-lined ground squirrel)
Lineage: Eukaryota; Metazoa; Chordata; Mammalia; Rodentia; Sciuridae
Description: Spermophilus tridecemlineatus (thirteen-lined ground squirrel) tRNA
Rfam family: tRNA
About the family: Transfer RNA (tRNA) molecules are approximately 80 nucleotides in length. Their secondary structure includes four short double-helical elements and three loops (D, anti-codon, and T loops).
Source: Rfam by way of RNAcentral
AGGGUUGUGGCUCAGUGGAAGAGCACUUGCCUAGCAUGCGAGAGGCACUGAGUUUGAUUCUCCGCAUCGCAU